CAGCCGCCGCGGGAAUACGAAGGGUGCAAGCGUUACUCGGAAUUACUGGGCGUAAAGCGUGCGUAGGUGGUGGUUUAAGUCCGUUGUGAAAGCCCUGGGCUCAACCUGAGAAUUGCAGUGGAUACUGGGUCACAAGAGUGUGGUAGAGGAUAGUGGAAUUUCCGGUGUAGCAGUGAAAUGCGUAGAGAUCCGAAGGAACAUCUGUGGCGAAGGCGACUAUCUGGGCCAACACUGACACUGAGGCACGAAAGCGUGGGGAGCAAACAGGAUUAGAUACCCGGGUAGUCCCUGUCUCUUAUAC
Molecule: ribosomal RNA, 301 nt
Filed under: uncultured bacterium
Lineage: Bacteria
Description: partial 16S ribosomal RNA
Rfam family: Bacterial small subunit ribosomal RNA
Source: RNAcentral